CCUACGGGAGGCAGCAGUGGGGAAUAUUGCACAAUGGGCGCAAGCCUGAUGCAGCCAUGCCGCGUGUGUGAAGAAGGCCUUCGGGUUGUAAAGCACUUUCAGCGGGGAGGAAGGUGGUGUGGUUAACAGCCACAUCAAUUGACGUUACCCGCAGAAGAAGCACCGGCUAACUCCGUGCCAGCAGCCGCGGUAAU
RNAcentral lists this ribosomal RNA (194 nucleotides) under uncultured bacterium. RNAcentral describes it as "partial 16S ribosomal RNA". It matches the Rfam family "Bacterial small subunit ribosomal RNA", at positions 338 to 524 of the family's 1533-position model. The record is from RNAcentral.